CAGCCGCCGCGGUAAUACGUAGGUGGCAAGCGUUGUCCGGAAUUAUUGGGCGUAAAGGGCUCGCGGGCGGUUUCUUAAGUCUGAUGUGAAAGCCCCCGGCUCAACCGGGGAGGGUCGUUGGAAACUGGGAAACUUGAGUGCAGAAGAGGAGAGUGGAAUUCCACGUGUAGCGGUGAAAUGCGUAGAGAUGUGGAGGAACACCAGUGGCGAAGGCGACUCUCUGGACUGUAACUGACGCUGAGGAGCGAAAGCGUGGGGAGCGAACAGGAUUAGAUACCCCAGUAGUCCCUGUCUCUUAUAC
RNAcentral lists this ribosomal RNA (301 nucleotides) under uncultured bacterium. RNAcentral describes it as "partial 16S ribosomal RNA". It matches the Rfam family "Bacterial small subunit ribosomal RNA", at positions 509 to 807 of the family's 1533-position model. The record is from RNAcentral.